Molecule: long non-coding RNA, 784 nt
Filed under: Homo sapiens (human)
Lineage: Eukaryota; Metazoa; Chordata; Mammalia; Primates; Hominidae
Description: HSALNT0154982
Source: RNAcentral
CUCAAAAUCAGCUGCUUACCCAGAGGACCCUCCCUAACCCAUGGCAAACUGGGAUCUGGCAUCAACUCUGCAAUCACUGAGGGUCUGGUUGGCUCUCUCAUCCCAGCACAGAGCAGUCAGGGUGGGGCAGCAUCCCUUCCUGAAGAUGGGGAAGUGAGACCAAGGGAGGGAGCGACUCACCCAAGGUCACAUGGGGCUGGGGAUUAGGGUGGGUUCCACCUUGGAACCCAAAUACAGCCGCCAAGACCACCUCUCUCCGUCGAGAGCCUGGACCACCUCUCCCAGAAUGCCUGCUGCCUUCUGCCCACAGGAGCCCUGGGCUUCCCCUCCAUACUGGCUGCCCUGAAGUUGAGGGCUCCAAUCCUGUGGCCCAGGGGAGACUAAUCCACUCUCCAGGCCCCAGCCCCAGCCCUCCUUCCUCACCCCAACCCUAGCAGCCGGCAUUUCAGCCCAGAUGGCCAAGCCUGGAGCCACUCUCUCUGUGUACUUCCUCUCCCUGCCCUGACCCAGAAACGCUGCCAAGCUCCAGGGGAGGGCCUUGCUCAACUCCUGCAGAGACCACAGAGGAGGACAGCUGAACGGGCCCUGUAGUCAGCUCCUAGGAAGCCCCCAUUCAGGUGGGGGAUUUGGAGUGAUGAGCCUUCCCCUCUUCACUGUGUGACCCCAGAUCACUGCCUCACCUCUCUGUGCCUCCAUUUCCUAAGAAAAGAAGCUGUGGUUCCAGCACUUUGGAAGGCCAAGAGAGGAAGAUCACUUGAGCCCAGGAGUUUGAGACCAGCCCUGG